CAGUCGCCGCGGUAAUACAGAGGGUGCGAGCGUUGUCCGGAAUUAUUGGGCGUAAAGAGCUCGUAGGCGGUCUGUCGCGUCUGGUGUGAAAUCCCGAGGCUCAACCUCGGGCUUGCAUCGGGUACGGGCAGACUAGAGUGCGGUAGGGGAGACUGGAAUUCCUGGUGUAGCGGUGGAAUGCGCAGAUAUCAGGAGGAACACCGAUGGCGAAGGCAGGUCUCUGGGCCGCAACUGACGCUGAGGAGCGAAAGCAUGGGGAGCGAACAGGAUUAGAUACCCCCGUAGUCCCUGUCUCUUAUAC
This 301-nucleotide ribosomal RNA is filed under the name uncultured bacterium. RNAcentral describes it as "partial 16S ribosomal RNA". It matches the Rfam family "Bacterial small subunit ribosomal RNA", at positions 509 to 807 of the family's 1533-position model. The record is from RNAcentral.